Molecule: ribosomal RNA, 492 nt
Filed under: uncultured bacterium
Lineage: Bacteria
Description: partial 16S ribosomal RNA
Rfam family: Bacterial small subunit ribosomal RNA
Source: RNAcentral
AGUGAACGCUGGCGGUAGGCCUAACACAUGCAAGUCGAACGGCAGCACAGUAAGAGCUUGCUCUUACGGGUGGCGAGUGGCGGACGGGUGAGGAAUACAUCGGAAUCUACUUUUUCGUGGGGGAUAACGUAGGGAAACUUACGCUAAUACCGCAUACGACCUACGGGUGAAAGCAGGGGAUCUUCGGACCUUGCGCGAUUGAAUGAGCCGAUGUCGGAUUAGCUAGUUGGCGGGGUAAAGGCCCACCAAGGCGACGAUCCGUAGCUGGUCUGAGAGGAUGAUCAGCCACACUGGGACUGAGACACGGUCCAGACUCCUACGGGAGGCAGCAGUGGGGAAUAUUGGACAAUGGGCGCAAGCCUGAUCCAGCAAUACCGCGUGGGUGAAGAAGGCCUUCGGGUUGUAAAGCCCUUUUGUUGGGAAAGAAAAGCAGCAGGUUAAUACCCCGCUGUUCUGACGGUACCCAAAGAAUAAGCACCGGCUAAGUUCGUG